UGCCUUCAUUCGGAUUACGCAUUUGUUGGAACAUGUUUGACAUAUACGAUGCCCCUGGGGAACAAGGAGAGAAUGGUUCCAAGACUGUUGUUAUGGUUUUGUAUAGGUUUUGAGGCAAGUCUUGGAGCAUGGUAGUCACAGGCGACACCCUUGAGAUAUUUGUUGGUGUGCCUUCUUCAUGAUUUUGAGGAGGAUUUUCUUAAUUCAUGAUGGCCACAGACAACCACCGUGAAACAAUUAUUGUAGUGUCUUCAUUAAGAUUUUGAAGCA
This 270-nucleotide long non-coding RNA is filed under the name Panax ginseng (ginseng). Its description in RNAcentral is "long non-coding RNA (PGIN_LNC018067)". The record is from RNAcentral. Lineage: Eukaryota; Viridiplantae; Streptophyta; Magnoliopsida; Apiales; Araliaceae.